RNAcentral lists this unclassified non-coding RNA (370 nucleotides) under soil metagenome. RNAcentral's name for it is "partial contains 5.8S ribosomal RNA, internal transcribed spacer 2, and large subunit ribosomal RNA". The stretch from base 1 to 119 matches the Rfam family "5.8S ribosomal RNA", at positions 35 to 154 of the family's 154-position model. The record is from RNAcentral.
GAUGAAGAACGCAGCGAAAUGCGAUAAGUAAUGCGAAUUGCAGAAUCCGUGAGUCAUCGAAUCUUUGAACGCACAUUGCGCCCCCUGGAAUUCCGGGGGGCAUGCCUGUUCGAGCGUCUCAGGGACGAACCCUCGCGCGGGUGUACGCGCGGUCGUGGCUGCGGUGGCGUGCCCGAGGCGGCGGCCACCGCGCUGGAAUCCAUGGGCGGACGCCUGCCGCGUGGCCGAGCGUGAUAUGACGCAUUGGCGCUCGCACGCGGCGAGGCUGCCAGCCCUGGCCCGUCUGUCGGGCGGGGGAGAGCAAGACACGUGAACUCCUCGAAUCAGGUAGGGAUACCCGCUGAACUUAAGCAUAUCAAUAAGCGGAGGA